AAGGGAGACCUAAUUCAGGUAGGAGACGAAAAAAAAGUAGUCCCUACCAAGAAUCAAUCCCAAAAGGUCGGAGCGAGGCGAAAUUGGCUUUCAAACUAGGUUCUGGGUUCACACAAGACCUGAAUCAGGAACAAGGGCUAUUAGCUCAGGUGGUUAGAGCGCACCCCUGAUAAGGGUGAGGUCCCUGGUUCGAGUCCAGGAUGGCCCACCUGCACAGGUGGCAAAAACAAAGAAAAGAAGCGAGGAAUCAGCACCUUAUCUUACUUAUAUAGUAAGAGAGAAUGCUGGCUCUGAGUAAAGAGUCCAGAGGAACCUUGAAAACUGCAUAGAGCUAGGUGAAAAAGCCAAAAAAGAAGACCGCAA
This 363-nucleotide transfer RNA is filed under the name uncultured Microcystis sp. Its description in RNAcentral is "partial miscellaneous RNA". The stretch from base 135 to 208 matches the Rfam family "tRNA". Lineage: Bacteria; Bacillati; Cyanobacteriota; Cyanophyceae; Chroococcales; Microcystaceae. The record is from RNAcentral.